AUUGAACGCUGGCGGCAUGCCUUACACAUGCAAGUCGAACGGUAACAGGUCUUCGGAUGCUGACGAGUGGCGAACGGGUGAGUAAUACAUCGGAACGUGCCUAGUAGUGGGGGAUAACUACUCGAAAGAGUGGCUAAUACCGCAUGAGAUCUACGGAUGAAAGCAGGGGAUCGCAAGACCUUGUGCUACUAGAGCGGCCGAUGGCAGAUUAGGUAGUUGUUGGGAUAAAAGCUUACCAAGCCGACGAUCUGUAGCUGGUCUGAGAGGACGAUCAGCCACACUGGGACUGGGACACGGCCCAGACUCCUACGGGAGGCAGCAGUGGGGAAUUUUGGACAAUGGGCGCAAGCCUGAUCCAGCAAUGCCGCGUGCAGGAUGAAGGCCUUCGGGUUGUAAACUGCUUUUGUACGGAACGAAAAGCCCUGGGUUAAUACCCUGGGGUCAUGACGGUACCGUAAGAAUAAGCACCGGCUAACUACGUGCCGGCCGCCGCCGUAA
Molecule: ribosomal RNA, 498 nt
Filed under: uncultured bacterium
Lineage: Bacteria
Description: partial 16S ribosomal RNA
Rfam family: Bacterial small subunit ribosomal RNA
Source: RNAcentral